Molecule: non-coding RNA, 1664 nt
Organism: Petromyzon marinus (sea lamprey)
Lineage: Eukaryota; Metazoa; Chordata; Hyperoartia; Petromyzontiformes; Petromyzontidae
Source: RefSeq, a predicted model, not a curated record
UCGAAACGUCAUAGUUUUUGUUAUUUUCCUUGAACCUAUCUACGUGACUUUACCGAAAGACCCAAAGAAUACUUUUAAGUCUGCUACAAAACUGGCUCAGACUCAAGGAUGGAUCUCGAACUUGUAUCAGUAACUGGUUCCAGGUCUUCGGGCCAGAGACCCAGACACUGCUGCGCUGGCCAUAUCACUGCACAAGGUUUGUGCGCAGGUACAGCAGCAGAUCUCCGUAGGCUGCGGUUCGUAGAUGCCUUCAAUUGGGGUCCAUUCAGGCCGGUAAGCACUGCUCUGCGAGACAGGAUGGAGCGGAUUGGUGCAGAUCCUCGUUGACGAGUAGGCAUAGUUUAUAAAUAAUCUUACGCUUGAUAAGUAGCCAAUAUAACUCGUCCGAUAGCAAGGUUGCGAUGGGAUCAUAUUUGGACUUGUGAACUGUCGGGCGAGCCGCAGCAUUUUCCACCGAUUGGAGCGGAUGCAGAUGCACAGCACUGGCAUAGCCGGAGAUGCUGUUGCACUAGUCCACACGACUGAUUACGAAUUCGUACACGAGCAUCCUAGUUGUCUUGAAAGAUAAGGUUAGAGUCUGUUAUGGAGCAAGUUAAGUGGUUACGAAUUUAACAUGGCCGAUAUAAUAGCUGUAGUGUGAUAAUCUUGUUUAAAGCAUAUUACUGAUAUAAUGUAUAUAUGUUUCAGUGUUCAGAAUAACGUGGCUACAGAGCUUGGACUAUUCUAAAGACGUGUUUGUAAUUAUGGUUAUGAUUAAAAGCACCUCUGAUAGUUAAAAAUGCUGGAAUGUUCAUUAUUCUUUAUUAAAUAAAUAAUGUGCCGUUAAUGCUGUAAACCUUUACAGUAACUUUUCGCGGUUUCACAAUUAUACAGGUACAGUAUAACAUACUUGGGUUUUGACGAGAUCAGACCAGAUCCAUGAAUGAGUUUUAAAACGAUUGUCUAUACGGUACUGUUUUUAAUUCCAUAGUGUACGUGGUUAUUUAUUUAUGAUUUAUUUUUAUAUGAUUAUAUUCAUGAAUAAAUAAUGCCCCAUUCAGGCAGUGAACUUUUAUUGAGCAUUACAAUGGUUUCACAAUUAUACGGUGCCAUCAUAAUUAAGUAAUGAGACCGCACAUAUGAAAGUAUGUGGGAAAUUUUUAUUCUGUUAAAAGUGACCUGUAUUCAUUUGUACAUAUUGCUUUAGCAUAUUUUCUGUAUGAUUCAUGCGACUGUAUUUGUUUCGAUUAAAGCUUUCGUGACUGCAGGGAUUCAUAUUCUUGGUUCUUUCGGUAAAGUCACGUAGAAGGGAAAUAAUCAAAAUAAAACAAUAUAAUAAAAUUCUCACGACGUUUCGGCCACAACGCAAGCAGCCGUCCUGAGGUGAAGAAACAGAGCUGUCAGAAAGACGCUGUAUUUUGUGACAGAAACGUCGUGAAAAUUUUAUUAUAUUAUGUUUUAUUUGUAUUAUUUUAUUAUUUCCCUUCUACGUGACUUUACCGAAAGAACCAAGAAUAUGUAUAUGUUUCAUUUAACUGAUGGAUAAAUGAAUAGUUAAGGUUAAAGAGUUAUCUAUUUGCUAGGGCGGUCAUGAUUGAGCUUUGACCGAGAGUUAAUAUGUUAAAUGUGUUAAUAGAGUACUGUUGAAUGUUGCUAAGAAUAUUGGGUUAUAUUUAAAUUAUAUA